AUUGAACGCUGGCGGCAGGCUUAACACAUGCAAGUCGAGCGGGGUGAUGGUGCUUGCACUAUCACUUAGCGGCGGACGGGUGAGUAAUGCUUAGGAAUCUGCCUAUUAGUGGGGGACAACAUCUCGAAAGGGAUGCUAAUACCGCAUACGUCCUACGGGAGAAAGCAGGGGAUCACUUGUGACCUUGCGCUAAUAGAUGAGCCUAAGUCGGAUUAGCUAGUUGGUGGGGUAAAGGCCUACCAAGGCGACGAUCUGUAGCGGGUCUGAGAGGAUGAUCCGCCACGCUGGGACAGAGAGACGGGCCAGACUCGUACGGGAGGGAGCAGUGGGUAAUAUUAGACAAUGGGGGGAAACCUGAUCCGGCCAUGCCGCGUGUGUGAAGAAGGCCUUAUGGUUGUAAAGCACUUUAAGCGAGGAGGAGGCUCUUUUGGUUAAUACCCAAGAUGAGUGGACGUUACUCGCAGAAUAAGCACCGGCUAACUCUGUGCCAGCCGCCGCCGUAA
This 503-nucleotide ribosomal RNA is filed under the name uncultured bacterium. RNAcentral's name for it is "partial 16S ribosomal RNA". It matches the Rfam family "Bacterial small subunit ribosomal RNA", at positions 30 to 523 of the family's 1533-position model. The record is from RNAcentral.